GCACUCGUAGUUCAACGGAUAGAACAUUGGUUUCCGGAACCAAAAAUUGAGGGUUCAAUUCCCUCCGAGUGCA
This 73-nucleotide transfer RNA is filed under the name Candidatus Woesebacteria bacterium RIFCSPLOWO2_01_FULL_39_25. RNAcentral's name for it is "tRNA-Arg". It matches the Rfam family "tRNA". From Rfam's summary of the family: Transfer RNA (tRNA) molecules are approximately 80 nucleotides in length. Their secondary structure includes four short double-helical elements and three loops (D, anti-codon, and T loops). Further hydrogen bonds mediate the characteristic L-shaped molecular structure. tRNAs have two regions of fundamental functional importance: the anti-codon, which is responsible for specific mRNA codon recognition, and the 3' end, to which the tRNAs corresponding amino acid is attached (by aminoacyl-tRNA synthetases). tRNAs cope with the degeneracy of the genetic code in two manners: having more than one tRNA (with a specific anti-codon) for a particular amino acid; and 'wobble' base-pairing, i.e. permitting non-standard base-pairing at the 3rd anti-codon position. The record is from RNAcentral. Lineage: Bacteria; Candidatus Woeseibacteriota.